RNAcentral lists this long non-coding RNA (2393 nucleotides) under Coffea arabica (coffee). RNAcentral's name for it is "long non-coding RNA (CARA_LNC007240)". Lineage: Eukaryota; Viridiplantae; Streptophyta; Magnoliopsida; Gentianales; Rubiaceae. The record is from RNAcentral.
AGCUUGGCGAGUACAAGAAACACCACAAAAUGUAGUUUCUUGGUUCUUUAGUGUAAAGUAGUAUAGGAUAGUUUAGUUUUAGAUAAUUUAUCCUUUCUUGUAUGUUAGCUACAUGAAGAUGAAGAUGGAGAUGAAGAAGGCAAGGAAAGAGCUCAUGUGACAAGGGUUACUUUACCUUUCCAACUCUUAUCUUUUGUAUUGGAAUCUAAGUUUAAUUAAUAUACAAGUUUUGGAUUUUAUGUUUAUUAUGUGUCUUUAAAAGUUUAUGCCUUGGAUUUAGUUGAACUUUCUAUGAUUGUUAGCGUUUAUUCUUUGGCUAUUUGAUGCUAUUAUUUUGAGCAAGUUAUUUAGCACUUUAGCUCUUUAAAUCAUGAUUAAUUUGGCACCAUUAAUUGUGAUUAUCUAAAGGUGUUGCUUCUUCAAUGAAAAUUGAGAUUUAACACUAGUUCAAGAAAUGCUAAACCUAGGGAGUACACUCAUGAGAGUAGAGGUGCACCUAUGUGGUUUUAGUGAUUCAUUUCAUGUAAUUUCAUAGAAUAAAUGAACUUGUAGCUAAUUUCAUAACCAUGAGAGUAGGUAUGGAUUAGUUAUAAGUAUAGUUGAUUCACUACAAAAGUAGGUUUCACAAACCUAAGGAAAUUACGCAUAACUAGCCAAAAUAGUAGUACUCAUUGAUCCAAAUAUAGCACUUGCAUGAGUAGUUAGGGACACCAUAACCUAAGGAGCUUUUAUUUACCAUUUCCUUGCAUAAGUUUAGCAUAGUUUUAUUUCUUUAAUUUAUUGAUCGUCUAAAUAAUAGAGAAGGUUUAGUAGUGCCAGUAAUUGUCCAAUCUUUCUCGUGGAUCGACCGAUAUAGGCCCUAAACUACUAGUUGACCUGUAUACUUGCAGUCAAAACGGGUAUAAAUUGGAUUUAAACUUGUACUCAUAUCAAAAUUCCGCCAUAUUUAUUUUUGAUGAUGUUCUGCAAAUCUAUGUAUAAAUUACAUGUUAUAAAAUAGGAAUAUUUUUUCUUUUUAGACUUCUAUCUUUUAUAAUUUUAAGCAGCAUAUUAAUUUUACUUAAAUUUUUAAGCGGAUGUAAAUGUAUACCAUGUAAUAUAAAUUUAAAUUUGAAAUUCAUUUUUCGCUUAGAAGACAUACAUCUACACUUGUUAGUGUAAAAUAUCAUCUACAUCAACUGUGUAUGAAAACUUAAUCCAUUGAAAACUCAUAAGCGUUAAUCACUUAUAAAGGAAACUCAAUUUAAUCCUAGAUACAAUGUCUAAUCUUGAAUUUAAUGAGUCAAAAUAAAUCAUUUUAGUGAUUGUGGCAUUAUGCUAAAUUCAUGCUAAAGGAAGAUAGUGCAAAUCUCAACUUACGGAUCUUAAAAAGUGCUUGAACUGGCAGGGCCUCAAAUCUUGUCCAUCUUCUCUAACAGACUAGCUAUAAAGAACUUUUCACUAAUGCGGUAGAGUCAAUAAAUUAAUAUAUAUAUGCGGGCGGCAUUAAUGUUUUGUCUCCCGGAAACAUUAGUUACCACCUUUUUUUGAACCCCAAAAAGAAAAAAAGACAAUGGAAUUGCUUUUUCUUUUGUUUUUUUUUUUUGUGUAUAUAUAAAAUUCACAAGAAGCCUUUUCUCAAGUAGUCUUCCACUCUUCCCUGUUUGGGAACUGCACACAAAUAGAGCUAGCUUUAAGUUUCUUUAAACGAAGUCGAUUUGUAAUACAUAUUUUUAGCAUUAUUUGCAGAAACCACUUAUGAAAAGUUGCAACAGGAUUGGGACGCAGACGAGAAGUUAUACAAAUACUGGGAACAAAUCAAAAGGGUGAUAAAAUAUCACCACGUAGACAAUAGGGAGUUCAUGUUGAUUGAUACUUGAUGGUGAUCAUUGGGGACUCUUCCUGGGACACCUAUCAAUCAAGCGGCAAGGCCUGCCUGGACGCCCACCAGGAAUGCAAUUCGCGUACCUUAACAGAUUGCAAAUUGGCUUUGUCGUCCCUGAUGCACGGUAAACAAUAGGUCUGCGGCCUGGGGGAUCGGCGAGAACAUUGCCAAACUGAGAAUCCAUAAGGAAUUCUUGGUCGCCCGCUACAACAGUACUGCCGACCGUGGAAUCGCCCCACUCCCAGCUAAUGCUGCCAUUAACACUUUGAAUACUUGUUGCGCUGAUGAGAACUAUCGUAGUAAGCAGCAGCCAUGCCACCACUGGGAAGAUGCACAGGCUCUUUGAUGCUGAUUUCUCCAUCUCUCCCUGCUAUCUCUUGCUCUCUUGGAGACCUGAAUAGCUUUCUCUAUUUGUACUAAUAGACCUCGUACCUAGUUUACUUGAUAAUCGUAUUAAUGAACGUAUGGUUGUAGUUGGGACUGAGUUAAUUACUUUAAUUAGAGCUCCUCCAUGUUAGGUGGCCGUCAG